This is a long non-coding RNA of Macaca mulatta (Rhesus monkey), 2900 nucleotides long. RefSeq lists it as uncharacterized. Lineage: Eukaryota; Metazoa; Chordata; Mammalia; Primates; Cercopithecidae. The record is from RefSeq and is a predicted model, not a curated record.
AGAGAUGGGGUUUUGUCUUGUUGGCCAGACUGGUUUCAGACUCCUGGCCUCCAGUAAUCUACCCACCUCAGCUUCCCAAAGGGCUCGGAUUACAGACGUGAGCUACUGCACCCAAACCGCCUCACCAUUUUUAAAAUGGGUUACCACAUAUGUAAAUAGAAUAGCUCAAUAAAUAUUCACUCCAUAACUGCAGGAGUUAGGGUAAAGGGAAAGAAGGCAAGACAACGUCAACAGGAGACCUGCACCCCAGAAAAUCCAACCCCCAUGGGGCACAGUCCAACGUGGGGGUGGGAAGAAUUUUGCCUGGAAUUACCGGGGCAACCCUCAAGGUGAGGGUAGGGGAAAACAGAAGUGGGGAUCCAUUUUUCAGGGGGAACAUGCUUGUCUUGGCGGUUUCUCCCCUCAAAGAUCCUGAGACCUCCAAGCAAGACCCUCGGGCCCCGCUUGGCUGGGGAGCGUUGAGCACGCCCAAGGAACGUGGACACAAGCCCCUCUGUACUGGUGUGUCUGUCGGGUCAGGGAUCCAGCCUGGCCCACGGUGACCCGGGAGGGCAGGUUCCGCUCAGUCUACUCGCUGAGCGCUGGCAGGGUGCUCAAUGCUGUUUAAACCCAGUCACUCCUCUCGACAGCCUCAGGCGGUUGAGGCUGUUACCAUCCCAUUUUACAGCUGAGUAAAUUGAGGCACGCGGAGUGGGGCGGUGAAGCGACUUGCUCAGGACGUCACAGCACUGCUGCCCCUGAUUUUGUCGGGGCUGGAGGCAGCCGGAGAGCCGGGCCGGCUCAGCACACGCGCCGUCCAGGGCAGCGGGUGGAGACCCAGGGGAGCCGGGGCGCGGAGCCAGACCAGCCCCGCCCCCGCGGGUCCGGCGCAGCCAAUGGGCACCCGGCCCGGAGUGGGGUGACGCGGCGUCAGCGCGUACUCCCGGGAGCCCAGCCCUGGGUCACAUGCGCCGCGCCCGCUCGACCCGGGAGGCAGGGAGGGGCGGCGGGGACAGGCUGAGCUCAGCCCCCAGGCCAGACACCUGGCCGGGACGACCGCCAGAUUUCGUUCUUCCUCUGCUAAGAGCCUGAUUUUCAGGGUGGGUUCCGGGACUUUGGCUGGAACUACUGUAUUGGGAAGAGGCACCCUCUCUCUGCCAGCAGGAUGUCUGCCUAGAGCUCCAGGUAGCCUGCAGUCAGCCACAUGGAAGAGCCAACCCAGAGGAGGCAGAACCAAGACUUAGACAGACAGAUUCCUGACCAAAUUCACAAGCACCUGGAUCCAGCUGUGCCUGAAGCUAAUUCAGUUACAUAAUUCUAUCUACCUAACACAUUCUUCUGAUUAAACAGUUUCUUCCACAACCAAAAAAUGUCCAAUGUGUCAUCUCUAAAUGAGGACUUUGGGCCACAAACUGCCUCCUUUUGGCAAAGAGGUCCUGAUGCUACUCUACUCAAGCAUUUCCCCAAUUUCUUUUCCCACAGAGCCCCUCCUUGAUCAGAACAGCUGUGAAUGUAUUGGGAGAGCACACUUCAGCAAGUGCCCUCAAGUCGGUUGAGUCAGAGUUGCACAGCCACCCUCCUGUUCCCGUGCAGCUGGCCUACCCACAGGCUCCCACAAUGCACACCUCAAGUGUGCAGCUUCAGUGCCCUGGGGCUCAGCUCAGAGCCUCCUCUCCCUGCAGGCCCUGGAAGAGGGCUACGACACUUACUGACUGCAGACUCCCCUUGACUCUGGGAAUGGACCCAGGCUGCGCGUUCCCCAAGGGCAGGUCUGGAGCAGCCUUCUCCCUCCCCUCUGGCAUCAGCCUGGCACACAGCAGGCUCUCAGGAACACUGCUGAAAGUACAAGUGGCCUAGGUGUCCUGGUGAUCCACAGUGGUGCCUCAGGACCAAUCUACUCUCCACAGGGUAAGGAUAGAGCUCAGGCCUCUUUCAGUGCUCACAUUGCCUGCUACAGGGCUGGGGGCACAUAAUGAGACAGGGUCUAUGCUGUCUGUUCAAAAGGGACCUGGGUUUGCAGCCCCCCACCCCCACUUCAGAAGCCCACUCCCCUUCCCCCCUGGGUGUGGGAACCUCUCUCUCCCUCCAACUGGUCGGAAACAGGGCUCUGCAGAGCUCCCUGGAGCCCAGGGAGGCAACUGGCCAGAGGGAGCUGGGUGCUGCCCCUUCUGGCUACGACUGGUGAUGGUGGUGGUGCCAACACAGCCCCUGCCGUGACCUGCCUCAUAUCAGUGGGCAGGAGAGCCCCUCCUGAGCCACCCUCCCAGAGGGCUGCUGCCAGCUUCAUCUGCUGGCCGUGGAAGUGGUGUCUUUCCUGCCACUCCAUGGCCCUGUCUGGGAGGUCUGUCUCUGGGUUGGUUGCUGGUUCUGCCACUACUCUCUGUGUGGCCUGGGGCAAGCGUACAGCUCUUUCUAGUCCUCCAUGUCUUCUCUGGCAUAGCAAGAGGUUGGCAAGAUCUCCAGGUUCAUCAGGGGUUUGCCGAGUCCACCCUGACUUGAGGUCUGUCCUUAAGCCCCAGCGAAGGGAUUAAAGGGCCCUCAGCCUCCUAAGCCACCUGGAGAAGGCACAGGUUCCACAGGCUCCCACAGUGCACCCCUUAUGACCCCCUAUGUCUCUGCACCUGAGGGGCCUCCUUCCGGGAGGACGGCUGCCUUACAACAAAGGGCUGUAGGCACCCACCUCCAGGACAAGGGGAGAGGGGAAAAGAAGCCUGUUUAGAAAGGGAGAGCAGGCUGCAAGGAUGGGAGGAGACAGGUUUCUUUUUGGGGGGAUAAAAAUGUUCUAAAUUUGGUUGUGGGGAGGAUUGCCCAACUCUAUGAAUAUUCUGAAGACUACUUAAUUGUACACUUUAAAUGGGUAAACUGUAUGCUAUGUGAAUUAAAUCUCAGUAAAGCUGUCAACAAAGAAAGUGUGAAGUCCA